This 510-nucleotide ribosomal RNA is filed under the name uncultured bacterium. RNAcentral describes it as "partial 16S ribosomal RNA". It matches the Rfam family "Bacterial small subunit ribosomal RNA", at positions 28 to 507 of the family's 1533-position model. The record is from RNAcentral.
GACGAACGCUGGCGGCGUGCUUAACACAUGCAAGUCGAACGAAGAGCGAUGGAAGCUUGCUUCUAUCAAUCUUAGUGGCGAACGGGUGAGUAACGCGUAAUCAACCUGCCCUUCAGAGGGGGACAACAGUUGGAAACGACUGCUAAUACCGCAUACGAUCUAAUCUCGGCAUCGAGGAUAGAUGAAAGGUGGCCUCUACAUGUAAGCUAUCACUGAAGGAGGGGAUUGCGUCUGAUUAGCUAGUUGGAGGGGUAACGGCCCACCAAGGCGAUGAUCAGUAGCCGGUCUGAGAGGAUGAACGGCCACAUUGGGACUGAGACACGGCCCAGACUCCUACGGGAGGCAGCAGUGGGGAAUCUUCCGCAAUGGACGAAAGUCUGACGGAGAAACGCCGCGUGAGUGAUGACGGCCUUCGGGUUGUAAAGCUCUGUUAAUCGGGACGAAAGGCCUUCUUGCGAAUAGUGAGAAGGAUUGACGGUACCGGAAUAGAAAGCCACGGCUAACUACGUG